CGUCUGUGUGUUUAUGUGGGUCUGAGUGGCUGUAGGAGCUGGGUGGACACAGGAAUACUCUAGCUACAGGGAGGCUGACACAGGAAGAUUCCAACUGUCAAAGCAGUGAGGUCCAGGAUCAACAAAAGACCUCCUCAAAGAAUAAGGUGGAGAGUGACAGAGGAAGACAGCUGAUGUCAACCUCUGGCUCCCACAUGUGCAUACACCUGUACACACGUACACACAAACAUGCACACACACAAUAAACACCUCCUUUUUUUGUUUUGUUUGGUUUUUUGUUUUUUCGAGAUAGGGUUUCUCUGUGUAGUUUUGGUGCCUGUCCUGGAUCUCCCUCUGUAGACCAGGCUGGCCUCAAACUCACAGAGAUCAGCCUGGCUCUGCCUCCCAAGUGCUGUAAUUAAAGGCAGGCGCCACCACUGCCCGGCCCAUUUUUUUUAAAAAACUGGAGAGUAGGCUGGCUUUAUUUGAAAAAGUCUGAUGCGCUGUAGGGGCUGUCUAUACAUUUUGAAGUUUUACGGAGGAGGAGGGCUUUGUUAAUACCUUGUUUUCUUUUCCUGCUGUUCAAAGGACAUCUGUGAGUACACAUGUUGGCUGGCAUGAUGGCACACACUUGGAAUCCCAGCACUGAAGAGGCACAGACAAGUAGAUGGAUUCCUGGGGCUUUCUGGCCAGCCAGUACAGCCUACUCAACAAGCUCCAGGCCACAAAGACCCCGUCUCAAAAACAAAAUGAAAGGUCUCAGAUGAAGCCUCCCUAUUUUCCAAAGUACUGUCCCUUAAAAUGAAGCACUGAAGAGAGGCCCCAUUCUGUGCAUGCCAACCUAGGCCUUGUAGAGGUGCGUUAUUUCUCUUACGUCCUUCUGGAGAGAAUGUCAAAGAUGUUUGGUUGUAUGUUUUUGAGCUGGAAAGGACAGAUGGAGCCAUCCUCCUGUCUGGGAGCUGGGCUGACUCCUCGGGCAUCUGUGAAUGACCAUGUAUGCAAGGAUAUCAGCAUCCCCACAUCAAAAAGGCAGUCUCACCAGAGGCAGUAUCGCUGAUUUUUCCAAUAAAAAUGUACAAGAUUCAGCUAAUUACUUACU
Long non-coding RNA from Peromyscus californicus insignis, 1078 nucleotides. RefSeq lists it as uncharacterized. Lineage: Eukaryota; Metazoa; Chordata; Mammalia; Rodentia; Cricetidae. The record is from RefSeq and is a predicted model, not a curated record. The transcript has 3 exons.